GACGAACGCUGGCGGCGUGCUUAACACAUGCAAGUCGAACGGAAAGGCCCUGCUUUUGUGGGGUGCUCGAGUGGCGAACGGGUGAGUAACACGUGAGUAACCUGCCCUUGACUUUGGGAUAACUUCAGGAAACUGGGGCUAAUACCGGAUAGCAGCUCCUGCUGCAUGGUGGGGGUUGGAAAGUUUCGGCGGUUGGGGAUGGACUCGCGGCUUAUCAGCUUGUUGGUGGGGUAGUGGCUUACCAAGGCUUUGACGGGUAGCCGGCCUGAGAGGGUGACCGGCCACAUUGGGACUGAGAUACGGCCCAGACUCCUACGGGAGGCAGCAGUGGGGAAUAUUGCACAAUGGGCGGAAGCCUGAUGCAGCAACGCCGCGUGCGGGAUGACGGCCUUCGGGUUGUAAACCGCUUUCGCCUGUGACGAAGCGUGAGUGACGGUAAUGGGUAAAGAAGUACCGGCUAACUACGUG
RNAcentral lists this ribosomal RNA (468 nucleotides) under uncultured bacterium. RNAcentral describes it as "partial 16S ribosomal RNA". It matches the Rfam family "Bacterial small subunit ribosomal RNA", at positions 28 to 507 of the family's 1533-position model. The record is from RNAcentral.